Molecule: unclassified non-coding RNA, 176 nt
Organism: Bison bison bison
Lineage: Eukaryota; Metazoa; Chordata; Mammalia; Artiodactyla; Bovidae
Source: Ensembl
UGGUCCGCCUCAGGGGCUGAAGUCCUCUUUUUAUGCAUGGAGUGGGAACAGCACAGGGAGUGACGAGCUGGUUUUCUUCAAACCACUCCCACUAACCGGCUGCAGCCAAGGACAGGCCCACACCUUCUGGGGAAGAGAACUGUGCAGCCUCUGCUGCCAUUUGACCUCUGGUGUCA